AGGGUCCUCCUGGUCCAAAAGGUGAUAAGGGGGAACAAGGUGAUCAGGGACCUCGGGGUGACCAAGGCCAGGCAGGGCCCCCGGGACCCCCGGGCCCUCCAGGUCCCAGAGGGCCCCCUGGGGACACCGGGAAGGACGGCCCCCGAGGGAUGCCAGGAGUGCCUGGUGAACCAGGGAAGCCCGGAGAACAAGGCUUAAUGGCAAGUAUCUUGAUUUACAUUUUUCAAUGCUAAAAAUGAUGGAAGCUCGGGGUAUUAAAGACCCUAGUUGAGCUAAUACGCGACAAUCGCAUCUGUUGUGUGAGCCGGAACAGAAAUGUGGAAACUGAUGAAAGGAGAGCGUGGUGUGGCCUCUCUGCUGCCCACGGGGGCCACAGGACCACACGUGUGUCAGGAGUGAUGCGGGAGGACCGGAAGGUCCGGUGCAGACAGGGCAAGGGGGCCACGGAAGGCCAGGGGCUCUGCGGUGAGGAGAUGCGAGGGUGUGAAGACCCUUACCGGAGUCGCU
Molecule: long non-coding RNA, 507 nt
Filed under: Heterocephalus glaber (naked mole-rat)
Lineage: Eukaryota; Metazoa; Chordata; Mammalia; Rodentia; Bathyergidae
Description: lncRNA (ENSHGLG00000032897.1)
Source: RNAcentral